AGCAGCCGCGGUAAUUCCAGCUCCAAUAGCGUAUAUUAAAGUUGUUGCAGUUAAAAAGCUCGUAGUUGAAUUUCGGGAUCAAUACGUCGGUCGUGCUUCGGUACGUACUGGUGUCAUUGAUUUCUCCCUUCUGACGAACCAUGAUGUCAUUAACUUGGUGUCAUGGGAAAUCAGGACUGUUACUUUGAAAAAAUUAGAGUGUUUAAAGCAGGCUCACGCUUGAAUACAUUAGCAUGGAAUAAUGAAAUAGGACGUUCGAUCCUAUUUUGUUGGUUUCUAGGAUCAACGUAAUGAUUAAUAGGGAUAGUUGGGGGCAUUAGUAUUCAAUUGUCAGAGGUGAAAUUCUUGGAUUUAUUGAAGACUAACUACUGCGAAAGCAUUUGCCAAGGAUGUUUUCAUUAAUCAAGAACGAAAGUUAGGGGAUCGAAGACGAUCAGAUACCGUCGUAGUCUUAACCAUAAACUAUGCCGACUAGGGAUCGGAUGAUGUUAAUUAUUUAAUGACUCAUUCGGCGCCUUAC
RNAcentral lists this unclassified non-coding RNA (520 nucleotides) under uncultured Glomus. RNAcentral's name for it is "SSU rRNA". It matches the Rfam family "Eukaryotic small subunit ribosomal RNA", at positions 569 to 1091 of the family's 1831-position model. The record is from RNAcentral. Lineage: Eukaryota; Fungi; Glomeromycota; Glomeromycetes; Glomerales; Glomeraceae.